GGAGAUCGCCGGAGGGAGCUCGCCGGAGGGAUGGUUUUAGUUGGUGUUAUUCAGGCUUAGGAGAGAGUUCCGGGCCUAGGAAGGAACCCAAGAACACCAGCUGCAGGAGCAGGACCCUAGAUUGCCUG
Molecule: long non-coding RNA, 128 nt
Organism: Dioscorea cayenensis subsp. rotundata (Guinea yam)
Lineage: Eukaryota; Viridiplantae; Streptophyta; Magnoliopsida; Dioscoreales; Dioscoreaceae
Exons: 3
Source: RefSeq, a predicted model, not a curated record